GAAUAUAAUCAUACUGCCUUGAAUGGACCUGAUCUUAUCCGAUCUCAAAAGCUAAGCAGGGUCAAGCCUGGUAAGGGCUGCAAUGGGAGGUGAUUGCA
Molecule: ribosomal RNA, 98 nt
Filed under: Peromyscus maniculatus bairdii (prairie deer mouse)
Lineage: Eukaryota; Metazoa; Chordata; Mammalia; Rodentia; Cricetidae
Source: RNAcentral